This is a long non-coding RNA of Xiphophorus hellerii (green swordtail), 5191 nucleotides long. RefSeq lists it as uncharacterized. The transcript has 5 exons. NCBI's taxonomy places the organism in Eukaryota, Metazoa, Chordata, Actinopteri, Cyprinodontiformes, Poeciliidae. The record is from RefSeq and is a predicted model, not a curated record.
CUUCCUGUUUCCUUCAAACGCAGUCUGGACUCUAAAGGCAACAGUUCGGUCGUCGUUGCUGAUCCUGUUUUGCUUCUCUUCGGCAAUCCCUCAUACUCAGCAUGCAUGUGGGACAGUGGAGUGGAAAAACUUCCCUGUAACAGAACGAAACCUUCAACAGAACCAGAACCCGGCUCAGUACCAGCAGCCAUCUGCGACGGCCGACUGGAGGUUUGAGAAGACGGAGGAGAAACAGAAACAGAAAACUGAUCUCCAGCUGUCACCAGGAACAAGAUCAAAGCAUGAAGGAACCAACAGGAACCCCCAGAGAUGCUUUGGAAACCUGACAUGACACCAGAACUACGAACAGAACUGCAGUAGGAUCUGGCAAGGACUGACUGAAACAGAGAGGCUUCAGUGUUGGGGAGGAUGAUCACCAGAAACGGGGUGAGGUCUGACUUUGGAAACCUCAGCCAUUAUAAGUGCUGGAUUGGAAGUUACUUCGGCCUCCAGGCUCCUCACUGCACUGAAGAACAAACCAUCCAAAACCUCCCAGAAGCUCAGGGCGAGCUGAAAACCGUCAGGACGCAUUCAGUCACACAAAGUGCCAGUAGUCCGUGUCGCUGUAAUGUACUCGCCUCAGUAAUACGCAGCAAUAACAGCCGUGCUCUGCGUCUGGGUCAAAAGGUCAGGAGAUGGGAAUCCUGCUCUCACUGCUGUUCUUCAUCCUCUGCUGUGAUAUGAAACAUCAUCUGUCUCUCCUAAUCUCUUCCUCCAACAGUCAGUAUUCAGCUUCAAUAAAUAUCUGCUGUGGAUAAAUAGUGUUUUGCAGCUUUAAGUUCUCGUGUGUGUCAGAUCAAAGUCAGUCCCAGAAAAACAUAUUUUGUGACAACUGGUCCUUUCAUAUUUUCUGAUGGAAAUAACCGCAUUGAUCUCAUGUCAGUAUCAUUAUUGGAAACAAUCAGUUUAUUGAAUGGAUGCCGACUGAAUGUUUUAGUCACUGGAACGUUUUUUAUUGAUGUCAGAAGCUACAAGAAGAACAAACCAAUUCAUUGAAUGAGAAUGUUUCACUAAGGGAAACAUAUUUAGAUGAAUUACAUACAGUGAUGCUUUCUUUUCUUUUUGCUGUUGAAGCUGUUGCUGAACUGCAAACCUUCAUUAAGAGAUUGCUGCAUCCCGAGUUUAAUCCCAGCAGCUCUUAGACUCUGGAAUACAACAAGGUUCACUUAGCGCCGCUAAUGUUUUUGACAAAAGACAGCUUAUAAUUUGUGAUUAAACAGCUAUUAAAAUAAUUGUGUUAUUAUUAAAUAAUCAGUAUUUCUAUUUAUUUUUCAAGGUUUUCAAAUAAAGAAAAACAAACUUUUGUGAAAAUAAGAAUAAAUACAUUUUAUUUUGAAAGAUGGUUGAUAUUUAUGGAAAUUGAUGCGGAAAAAAAACAAGUUUUCAAACUAAACUUAAUAGUAAUAAAGUCAGGUUAUAGAUGCCGACUCUAAAAGCAUCACUGCUCCCGAAAAACUGUUUACAUUCCUGCUGUUAUUUGCACAAUUUCUUUUAUUUCUUACAACUUUACAACCACAUUUUGCACAUUUCUUUUCCUCAGAACAUGCCGUUUUACUCACUGCUCUGUAUUUUCAUACUGUGAACUUUCCCUUACUGUACAAUACCUGCAUAUUUUCCAAAAGAUGCUUUUUAUUCUGACAUAAGAACCUCAUCUGAACACAUCUUCUAAUUUAGUGAAUAUUUCUGUAAAUGUCAAGUCAUUCUCACUUUUCCUCACUGUAUGCUUGUUUCAGUGCUAACAUUCACACUGAAAUUGAUGAGUCAUUUUCUUGCCUUUGUCCUUUGAAAUGUUUCCAUUCGUUGUUUCCUGAUGGGGGAUCUGAGCAGGCAGUUGGUGAGAUGAUGGGAUGAGUCGGUGGCCGGUGCAGCAUCAGCAGCAAAUCGUUUCACUUAACCACAGCCUGGAGAAUCUCUGAGGUUUGCCACAGGGACCUUUGACCUUUGCGCCGGUCCUUCCUGUUGCCACCACUGUCUAAAGCUGCGUUUAUGGAUGCAUCAGGAAACUUUAACUUACUGAUCAGCUGAGGUGUGCAGCAUUGUUUGCUCCACAGCCAGGACUGUCCUUGAUUGUCACUGAGUUCAGGUUCCACUGCCACCUGGAGGAAUGAUGAGUUUUCCUCUAAUGGCUUCUAAAGUAGCUUCCCGCAGUGGGAGCGUCAGCAGCCAGCAUAUGGUGCCCUGUUGUUCACAAACGGCUGAAUGGGAAAAACAGGGAAAUAUUUCAGGAUAAAUGAAGCAGUUUGGGUUUUAUUUGGGCUGCCAUGGAGAUGUCUCUGUUGUGAUUUUUACUUUUAAACCUAUGCAUGUUGCAGCUCUGCAACCAAAAGUUAAUAUAAGGCUUUAGGUUCAGAUGGAAAACAUUUUGACUGUUGGACACGCUCAGUGUGGAUGAUUCAUGAGGAAAGCUUUGCAUUUGCAGAGGCAAAAGACUGAAAGAAAAUAGAUCUUCUUUUAUUUUUAGGUAUCAUCCAUUUCUCCAUGUGAUAUCUGCAAAGCUUUGUGACAAGGUCAUGCAUCACAGACAUCCCUGCACUCAUCCAUCAAUGAUCUAAAUCCGUCCUGAGACCAGAUGGGAUUUUUUACCCACCUAUACCCGCUUCUCUCAUAAUAUACCGUACAAUGGAAGCCUAAAAAAAAAGCCAAAAAAACCACAACAAAAAUUCUCUUAUUGUUUGACAUUAAAACAGGCAAAAUGUUUUGUGUUUUAGGCCAGACAAAAAUACUUUAUUGAUCCCAAAGGAAAAUGAGACAUUGUUAUGGGGAUGUCCUGGUCUUUUAUUCUUCUCACAGAUUGCUUCAUAACAUUCAAUUUAAAUAGAGAUUUAUGUGGAAGGAUUUUAAGACAGAAAACAUUAAAACAUCAGGAUCAGAAAUGUAAAAGUCUGGUUCAUCCUUGGAUUCACUUUUCAGAUGACUAAACAAAGUAGAGCCAGAUCUUUAAUGCAUUCAUUUCUAUUAAUUAAUUACUUAGAUUUUCAUGUUUUUUAAUCUUUUUUUUCUUUACAUACAAAAGUCUCAGGCUGGAUUUUUUUGUUUAGUCGUUAGUUUGUAGUACGCCACUACUAGAAACUAGAAACUUCUAAAGUUUUAGGAAAAACAAAUGCUAACAUUGAUAAAGCUCAUUAGCUUUCUGACAGAACAAAAUGAGAAAUGCAGAAUUAUCUGUCUGUCACUAACAUGUGAUGGGUGUUUGGUUUGUUUAAUGUAGAAGAGUAAUGGACCAGGAAGUGACCCUUUGGAACCACAGAAAUACUUUUUCUUGAUGAAAACCAGCUGAGAACCGAAGACGGAGAACCCAAUGUCGUUAUCCACAGUGUGAAAGUCCCACUGAGUCCAACUGAACUCUGUUACUGUUGGACUUAUUAACCCAUUUUUACACAGCAACAGGCUCCAAACAUGAUGGAUAUGUUUGAUUUUUACAGAAAUGUAUUCAUCCAGUCGUGUGUGGAAAAGUAUUUUAUUUCGGAAUCAGAGUUCAGAUGAUAUUUUAUUCUUGUUUAACUGCAGAAAAUAAAUGGUUUAUAUAAUAAAAAGCAGCUUGUUGAAGAUUAAGUGGGAACUCAGUCUGUUGGGAACAAUUAAUAAUAGUUUAUGUCUUGAGCCAAAUGAUGUAAAGUUAAAUGUUAGAGAAUAGAACAAGAGGAAAGUUUUGAUUUAUUAUCUUCCUGAUCAGAGCUGGAGGUUGGAGCUGCAGGCUGACUGGAAUAAAUUGAUAUAUUAUCUGACAAUGUACUAUUAAUCAAUCAAAAUGAAUGCAUUAAAGUCCCAACCCUAAACAUAUCAGAAAAUUCUUUUUAGAACAGCAAAUUCUUACAAUGACGAGACAUUUUUAUUUCCAGGUAUUUCUGGUUCUUAUAUGAGUAAAAUCCCAUCAUUAUGAACUUGCAUUGUUUAUAGGAAUGAGCAUUGAUGAGCAAAUACUUAAAAGAUGAAGUGAAAAAGAAAAUAUUUCUUGAUCUUAUAAAAUGAACAGUCUGGUUUGAUUUCUCUCCAUUCGGAGGCUCAACCAGCAGGUGUUACUGGGAGUUCUUGAAAUCUUUUCCACUUACCUUCUCUGGAGAGGAAGCAACGGUUAAUGUGCUUUAACAACUCAUUUCAACUUUUACUUGAAUUUGAUUACAGUUCAUUUGUUCCAGCCAGAGGUUCUUCCUCUGCUGUUAAAGAACCAUGGAAAGAAAAUGAAAAUAAUUUGAAUCACUUCAUCUUGUGACUCAAAACAAAAACUCUGUUUGUUGCAUUUAUCAGCUUGAAGUUACUGGUCAUGAUGAAGAACUCAGCAUGAGUUGUGAUUUUUCAUUGGUCAGCACUGUUUGCAAGAGAGCAGUGAUUAUGUUUUGAAGGACGGUAGCAGGAAGUGAUGACAGAAGCAGAAAUGUUGAGGUUUUUUUUAAAUGGAGCGGGUUGACGGCUCUUUUGUUCAAAUCUAGAGUGAAAUGUGUGACGUCGCGUUUGAUGUCCGAUUCAAAUAUACUCCUGCUGUUUGAAGGGCAUUAAUUUGACAGCUGACGAGUAACAGCAGCACAAGGGUGAAUUAAUAAUUCAUGACAAAGUUUCACUCUGGCUUUGAUCCUUUGCAGGCCCACAAUGUCAUUUUUGAUAACAGUAAUCCAGCAAAUGCUUGACUUAAAGUUCUUCAGCUUCGCUCCUUCAGAGCAAGAAGAGUCUGCUGUCUGCUUUCACUGGUAAACUUCUUAGAAAGAAAAAAAGACUUGUUAUGCUUCCUUUUAAACAAGUUACAAUAUUUCUAUGAGCUAUUAAAACAAUUUCAUUACAUUUUCUGCACAAAAUCACUCAGAUGAGAUUUCAACUCCUCAGUUCUGCAUAUUUUGAUCUCCUUUCAGAAUGUGCUGUUUUAGGACUCAGAAGCAUAAGAGGAGCCUCUAGGGUGCUCAAGUCCUCGAGAGCAACUUUUAGAUGCAUCCUUACUCCAACGGACCAGGAUCAGCUCUGAACAGACCUGCUAACGAGCCGUUCAUUUGAUUCAGGUGUGAAUCAAAUAAAAUAAAAUAAAAAAUUCAGGUGUGAAUCAAAUAAAAAAUACGAGCUGUUUUGAAACAGAUCGUUUUUUAGACACUAAAAACAUUACCUUAUUGCCAGAAAACAGCUGAAUGUUUUAUUUUAAGCACUUGGACUGUUUCUAGAAGCAGUAGAG